RNAcentral lists this small RNA (720 nucleotides) under Drosophila yakuba. Its description in RNAcentral is "GE27531". Lineage: Eukaryota; Metazoa; Arthropoda; Insecta; Diptera; Drosophilidae. The record is from RNAcentral.
UAAAUGGUUGUGUAUAAUCUGAGGGCAUUAUAAAACAAGCUCUCAUCGACCCAGUUCCAGUGGCUGCAAAAACAACUGCUCGAGUAUAAAGCCUAAUGCGAAAAAUUCGCAGAAAUCUGUCAUCGCCUUGUCAACGCUUCGUCAUCGUCAUCCUCAGUGGCAGUGGCAGUGGCAGCACAGGAAGAAGCCAGCGGACCAUGGAGUCACUGAGCCCGAAAAACCAAACCGUUCUGCCCCACCCCUCCCUUCUCUUGGCUUCCCAGUGCCUGGCAAAGUGUGGCUCCAAUUGGCGGACAGACAAGCGGACAAACGGACGGACAAACGAAAAUAUUGUUCCAUCAAAAAUCUGAGCAACGUUUGCUGAUUUACACGUUGAUGCCUUUGCUGCCGUCGCCGUUGUCACUGUCGGCGAUCAUAUCAAAGCGGCCGGCAUACAGAUAAGCAAGAGUGUAGGAGUUUGGGAGCUAAAUAAAAAAUAAAAAGGACUGCCAAAGGCUCCGACAACUGAAGGCGAGGGGAGCUUGACGACAGUGGAAAGCCAAAGUCUCCGAUCCUGACCAAUCUCUGGCGACAUAAACUGGCGUCUAUCCAAUUGCUGUCUCCAUGCCCUCUGAUUAACGAAGAAUCGCCCGCAUUUCGGACCAACGCUUUUCUGGCCGUGUGUCUGCGGACAACCGCUUAGAUGGAGAGCUCGAGAGCUGGAGAGCUGGACAAACGGAU